GUAUAUCUCUCUCUGGACAGACUGAGCUGUAUAUCUCUCAAGACAGACUGAGCUGUAUAUCUCUCUCUGGACAGACUGAGCUGUAUAUCUCUCUGGACAGUCUGAGCUGUAUAUCUCUCUAGACAGACUGAGCUCUGUAUAUCUCUCUGGACAGACUGAGCUGUAUAUCUCUCUGGACAGACUGAGCUGUAUAUCUCUCUCUAGACAGACUGAGCUGUAUAUCUCUCUCUGGACAGACUGAGCUGUAUAUCUCUCUCUGGACAGACUGAGCUGUAUAUCUCUCUGGACAGACUGAGCUGUAUAUCUCUCUCUGGACAGACUGAGCUGUAUAUCUCUCUGGACAGACUGAGCUGUAUAUCUCUCUCUGGACAGACUGAGCUGUAUAUCUCUCUGGACAGACUGAGCUGUAUAUCUCUCUCUGGACAGACUGAGCUGUAUAUCUCUCUGGACAGACUGAGCUGUAUAUCUCUCUCUAGACAGACUGAGCUGUAUAUCUCUCUGGACAGACUGAGCUGUAUAUCUCUCUAGACAGACUGAGC
This 539-nucleotide long non-coding RNA is filed under the name Salmo salar (Atlantic salmon). RNAcentral's name for it is "lncRNA (ENSSSAG00000096041.1)". The record is from RNAcentral. Lineage: Eukaryota; Metazoa; Chordata; Actinopteri; Salmoniformes; Salmonidae.